CGCCUCCUGCAAAAAACUAAGUAUAGGAGGUCCAGCCUGCCCAGUGACUAUAAGUUCAACGGCCGCGGUAUUUUGACCGUGCAAAGGUAGCGCAAUCACUUGUCUUUUAAAUGAAGACCCGUAUGAAUGGCUAAACGAGGGCUUAGCUGUCUCCCCUUUCCAGUCAGUGAAAUUGAUUUACCCGUGCAGAAGCGGGUAUAUAACUACAAGACGAGAAGACCCUUUGGAGCUUAAGGUACAGACCCAAUCGCGUCAAACAACUUGCCAAAGAGCCCGAACUUAGCGAAUACUGGAAUCUUACCUUCGGUUGGGGCGACCACGGAGGAAAAAAUAGCCUCCGAGUGGACCGGGAUUAUUACCCUAAAGUCAAGAGGGACACCUCUAAGCCACAGAACAUCUGACCAAAUAUGAUCCGGCCACACAGGCCGAUCAACGAACCAAGUUACCCUAGGGAUAACAGCGCAAUCCUCUCCCAGAGUCCAUAUCGACGAGGGGGUUUACGACCUCGAUGUUGGAUCAGGACAUCCUAAUGGUGCAGCCGCUAUUAAGGGUUCGUUUGUUCAACGAUUAAAGUCCU
This 577-nucleotide ribosomal RNA is filed under the name Carpiodes cyprinus (quillback). Its description in RNAcentral is "partial large subunit ribosomal RNA". It matches the Rfam family "Bacterial large subunit ribosomal RNA", at positions 1816 to 2597 of the family's 2925-position model. The record is from RNAcentral. Lineage: Eukaryota; Metazoa; Chordata; Actinopteri; Cypriniformes; Catostomidae.